AUUGAACGCUGGCGGAAUGCUUUACACAUGCAAGUCGAACGGUAGAGGGGGCAACCCCUCGAGAGUGGCGAACGGGUGAGUAAUAUAUCGGAACGUGCCCAGUCGUGGGGGAUAACGUAGCGAAAGUUACGCUAAUACCGCAUACGAUCUAAGGAUGAAAGCGGGGGAUCGCAAGACCUCGCGCGAUUGGAGCGGCCGAUAUCAGAUGAGGUAGUUGGUGGGGUAAAGGCUAACCAAGCCAACGAUCUGUAGCUGGUCUGAGAGGACGACCAGCCACACUGGAACUGAGACACGGUCCAGACUCCUACGGGAGGCAGCAGUGGGGAAUUUUGGACAAUGGGCGAAAGCCUGAUCCAGCCAUUCCGCGUGCAGGAUGAAGGCCCUCGGGUUGUAAACUGCUUUUGUACAGAACGAAAAGGUUUCUACUAAUACUAGGAGCUCAUGACGGUACUGUAAGAAUAAGCACCGGCUAACUACGUGCCAGCCGCCGCAGUAA
RNAcentral lists this ribosomal RNA (496 nucleotides) under uncultured bacterium. RNAcentral's name for it is "partial 16S ribosomal RNA". It matches the Rfam family "Bacterial small subunit ribosomal RNA", at positions 30 to 523 of the family's 1533-position model. The record is from RNAcentral.